RNAcentral lists this small RNA (357 nucleotides) under Histoplasma ohiense. Its description in RNAcentral is "hypothetical lncRNA". The record is from RNAcentral. Lineage: Eukaryota; Fungi; Ascomycota; Eurotiomycetes; Onygenales; Ajellomycetaceae.
AGCUGUGGUGUAAUCAGUACAGUCUGUAUGCUGACUUAGUUGAUAUACUCUCAACUACAGAUAUGCACUCUUUUUCUCUCUUCUCACUGCUCUUUUCAUCUCUCUUCACUUCUUUUCUCUCACAAUCUUCUUCAGUGCUCUCUUCUCUCUCUUCUUCCAGGUUUGUGCUGAGUCAUAUGACUGCAAGAUGUCACAAGAGACACAGUCUUUUCUUCACUCUUUUCUUUAUUUUUCUUUUCAGAUGUAAUGCACUUGUUUAUUAUUUCCUUAUUAUCUUCGCUUAUUAUCUUCGCUUAUUCUUACCUCUUUCCAUUAUACUCUCGCUACCACUAUUUCUAUAUGUAUAUAUAUAUCGAU